RNAcentral lists this ribosomal RNA (220 nucleotides) under uncultured bacterium. RNAcentral describes it as "partial 16S ribosomal RNA". It matches the Rfam family "Bacterial small subunit ribosomal RNA", at positions 57 to 305 of the family's 1533-position model. The record is from RNAcentral.
GCAAGUCGAACGAACCCUUCGGGGUGAGGGGCGCACGGGUGCGUAACGCGUGGGAACCCGCCUUUAGGUUCGGAAUAACAGUUAGAAAUGACUGCUAAUACCGGAUAAUGUCUUCGGACCAAAGAUCUAUCGCCUUUAGAGGGGCCCGCGUUGGAUUAGCUAGUUGGUAGGGUAAAGGCCUACCAAGGCGACGAUCUAUAGCUGGUCUGAGAGGAUGAUC